This is a long non-coding RNA of Rhea pennata, 235 nucleotides long. RefSeq lists it as uncharacterized. NCBI's taxonomy places the organism in Eukaryota, Metazoa, Chordata, Aves, Rheiformes, Rheidae. The record is from RefSeq and is a predicted model, not a curated record. The transcript has 3 exons.
UGCGGCGGGACUGCGGGCUGCCGCUCUAUCCCCGCCUCCCCCGCCCUCCUCCGCUGGCGUGUUGUGGUGCUUGUCCGUGUUACUGAGCGUGCCGGGAAGAGGACCCCCGCCUUGGUCAAGAAGAUAACAAGAGGAUGUGUUCUGUCAUGCUGGCAAAAGCAUAAGAAGGACAGAUUACUGGCUGUUAAUUGAAUUCUGUACCUGUAAUGCAACAACACUGAAGAUCAGAAUCCCA